Molecule: long non-coding RNA, 741 nt
Organism: Daphnia magna
Lineage: Eukaryota; Metazoa; Arthropoda; Branchiopoda; Diplostraca; Daphniidae
Exons: 2
Source: RefSeq, a predicted model, not a curated record
AAGCGUGUCGUCCGAAGAAAUAACUUGAUGCAAGUCCCAAGCAUUGAAAGCAGUUUAGCACAAUUUAAUGAAACAACGAAAUCAAAUAAAUUGAUCGCAAGAAAAUAAUGAUGAAAAAAUACUAGAUUUUGUUUAUGUAUGCUUAGUAUUUAUUACAUACGUCAUAAUUAAUGGGAAAAUGUGAUUUGUUUUGUAUUUUAUCGAUCGAUCAUUGAUUUCAAUGCAUGCUGAAUUCGCUAGAUGUCACCGGCGACCACAGUCUAAUGGCAGAAGAGAGUAAGGGAGCUUAGACGUCAAGAGUCUCAAGACGUUUUCGACGCGACGUAGAUUUCGGCUGCUGGUCAACAAAUCAGUGGCUUCUUUGGCGUCUUCGUAGAAUCGCCGUGCUUCACCCACUUACGUCGCGUUUCUUUGCACCAUAAAGAUAUAUAUGUAUGCGCUUGUGUGUGUGUGUAUCUGUGCACCGACUAAUGAGAUCGCUUUAUCCGUCGUGUGCCCAUGGGUGUGUACGUGUCCAUCGGUGCGGAAUGUCCUUUGAAGCCAGGGUUCUUCCAAUAUUCCCGCGGAACAACUCAUCUUGAAAAAUAACGAGUCUCCCCUUUUGACAUUUGACUUUUCUUGUUUUGUUUUCUUUUUUUUUACUGUUUCAACAAUUUAAGUAUUUGAUUCGUUUUAUUUUUCUUCGCAUUCUAUGAAAAAAAAUGAAACAUAUCAUCAAAUAGCGAAUGGUUACGAUCAUUA